RNAcentral lists this non-coding RNA (30 nucleotides) under Homo sapiens (human). Lineage: Eukaryota; Metazoa; Chordata; Mammalia; Primates; Hominidae. The record is from RNAcentral.
UAGGAACGUUUCUUCCUGAGUCAGCCUGUC